Callithrix jacchus (white-tufted-ear marmoset) is the source of this 183-nucleotide unclassified non-coding RNA. It matches the Rfam family "Metazoan signal recognition particle RNA". Rfam says of the family: The signal recognition particle (SRP) is a universally conserved ribonucleoprotein. It is involved in the co-translational targeting of proteins to membranes. The record is from Ensembl. NCBI's taxonomy places the organism in Eukaryota, Metazoa, Chordata, Mammalia, Primates, Cebidae.
GCCAGGUACGGUUACGUGUGCCUGCAAUCCCAGCUACUCAGGAGACUGAGGUGGGAGGAUCGCUUGAGUCCAGGAGUUCUGGACUGUACUGUGCUAUGCCGAUCGGGUGUCCGCACGAAGCUGUAGUGGGAUCGCGCCUGUGAUGCACUCCAGCCUCGGCAACAUAGCAAGACCCUGUCUCUA